UUGACCUCAAAUCGGGUGAGACUACCCGCCGAACUUAAGCAUAUCAAUAAGCGGA
This 55-nucleotide ribosomal RNA is filed under the name Lactifluus madagascariensis. RNAcentral's name for it is "partial 28S ribosomal RNA". Lineage: Eukaryota; Fungi; Basidiomycota; Agaricomycetes; Russulales; Russulaceae. The record is from RNAcentral.